Molecule: long non-coding RNA, 243 nt
Filed under: Trifolium pratense (red clover)
Lineage: Eukaryota; Viridiplantae; Streptophyta; Magnoliopsida; Fabales; Fabaceae
Description: long non-coding RNA (TPRA_LNC010228)
Source: RNAcentral
GCCCACACCCAUUGGGUUCGGGUUUUUUCCACCCAAACCCACAACACAUUUAAAAAUAAUUUGCAAAUUUAAGAAAUUAAAUUCCAACAUAGACUUUGAAUUAAAUUACAAUUAAAAUUAAGGUCUUCCAAAGAAAUUCAAACAUAGACUUUCAAGAAAUUACAACAUAUACUUUCAAGAAAUUAAAUUACAACUAAAAUUUAAGGUCUUCCAAGGAAAUUGAGUGAGACUAUGGGGGUAAUU